Molecule: ribosomal RNA, 483 nt
Filed under: uncultured archaeon
Lineage: Archaea
Description: bacterial SSU rRNA
Rfam family: Archaeal small subunit ribosomal RNA
Source: RNAcentral
GGGGGUGCCCGAGGAUCGAUUUCUCUGCAAUGCUUGAAAGCGUGAUCGGGGAGAGUCUGAGUGGAGGAAACUUACUUUCCGUCUUUUGCCAAGUGUAGAACCGACUUGAAAAAUAAGGGUGUGGGCAAAACUGGUGGAAUCCGCCGCGAUAACACCAGCGCCUCUAGUGGUACCUCACGAAUAUGGAGGCCUAAGGCGUCCGUAGCUGGACCUCUUAGUCCGCUGUGAAAUGUUGGGGCAUCAACCCUAAUUCGUGCAUAUGGAUACAGUUGGUCUUGGGAACGGGGGAGGGUCGGGGUACUUCAUGGGUAGGGGUAAAAUCCUUUGAACCUGGAAUGACCACCAGUAGUGAAGGCGCCAAUUCAAAACGUGUCCGACGGUAAGGGACUAACCCUGGGUGAGCGAACUGGAUUAAAUACCCCGGUAGACCCAGCUGUUGAUGAUGUAUAAUGUGGUGUUAAACUUAAUCAAUCAAGUGUAAUG